Strigamia maritima is the source of this 212-nucleotide non-coding RNA. The record is from Rfam. NCBI's taxonomy places the organism in Eukaryota, Metazoa, Arthropoda, Chilopoda, Geophilomorpha, Linotaeniidae.
AAGAUCAUACUUCACAGGAUCAUUUCUAAAGUAUGUAUCGCCCAUUCUCUAUCCAAGAGAUGGAACACCCGAAACCAUGAGGAUGAGACACAACGUUUCCUCUUGAGCGUGAAGCCGGGUUGUUCGCCAAUUUAAUGGUUGAACUUCGCAUUGAUGACCGCUCUUUGCGACCUACGGGCUGCUAAAGAGGGAGGAGACGUAUUCUGAGUGGU